This 248-nucleotide ribosomal RNA is filed under the name uncultured bacterium. Its description in RNAcentral is "partial 16S ribosomal RNA". It matches the Rfam family "Bacterial small subunit ribosomal RNA", at positions 107 to 353 of the family's 1533-position model. The record is from RNAcentral.
UGAGUAACGCGUGGGUAACCUGCCUCAUACAGGGGGAUAACAGUUAGAAAUGACUGCUAAUACCGCAUAAGCGCACAGUGCUGCAUGGCACAGUGUGAAAAACUCCGGUGGUAUGAGAUGGACCCGCGUCUGAUUAGCUAGUUGGUGGGGUAACGGCCUACCAAAGCGACGAUCAGUAGCCGGCCUGAGAGGGUGAACGGCCACAUUGGGACUGAGACACGGCCCAAACUCCUACGGGAGGCAGCAUG